UACAGAGGGGGCAAGCGUUGUUCGGAAUCACUGGGCGUAAAGGGCGCGUAGGCGGCGCGGGCAGUCAACGGUGAAAGCUUGGGGCUCAACCCCGAGUCGGCCGUCGAUACUCCCGUGCUUGAGCACUGUAGAGGCAGGUGGAAUUCCGGGUGUAGCGGUGGAAUGCGUAGAGAUCCGGAAGAACACCGGUGGCGAAGGCGGCCUGCUGGGCAGUAGCUGACGCUGAGGCGCGACAGCGUGGGGAGCAAACAGG
This 253-nucleotide ribosomal RNA is filed under the name uncultured bacterium. Its description in RNAcentral is "partial 16S ribosomal RNA". It matches the Rfam family "Bacterial small subunit ribosomal RNA", at positions 524 to 776 of the family's 1533-position model. The record is from RNAcentral.